RNAcentral lists this ribosomal RNA (497 nucleotides) under uncultured bacterium. Its description in RNAcentral is "partial 16S ribosomal RNA". It matches the Rfam family "Bacterial small subunit ribosomal RNA", at positions 28 to 507 of the family's 1533-position model. The record is from RNAcentral.
GAUGAACGCUGGCGGCGUGCCUAAUACAUGCAAGUCGAGCGAACAGACGAGGAUCUUGCUCCUCUGACGUUAGCGGCGGACGGGUGAGUAACACGUGGAUAACCUACCUAUAAGACUGGGAUAACUUCGGGAAACCGGAGCUAAUACCGGAUAAUAUAUUGAACCGCAUGGUUCAAUAGUGAAAGACGGUUUUGCUGUCACUUAUAGAUGGAUCCGCGCCGCAUUAGCUAGUUGGUAAGGUAACGGCUUACCAAGGCUACGAUGCGUAGCCGACCUGAGAGGGUGAUCGGCCACACUGGAACUGAGACACGGUCCAGACUCCUACGGGAGGCAGCAGUAGGGAAUCUUACGCAAUGGGCGAGAGCUUGACGGAGCAACGCCGCGUGAGUGAUGAAGGUCUUCGGAUCGUAAAACUCUGUUAUUAGGGAAGAACAAAUGUGUAAGUAACUAUGCACGUCUUGACGGUACCUAAUCAGAAAGCCACGGCUAACUACGUG